UCCUGCUCGAGGUGGAGAAACUGCAGCAGCAGAAGGAGCCUCUACAGCAAACAGUCUGUUUAUUGAUAUUUUAUUAUGCUGUUUAGCAGGACCCUGGUGCCUGUAAUAAAGCAUUAAGGAAGUGUAGCAGCACAUUCUCAUUGAUCCCAUUCAGUGCUGUGAUAUUUCUGGGAGGACCAGGGAUGAAGAAAAGGAAUAAUUUUGCUCCCCUCCCCUGUGCUGAGCUGCUGAUGGCAAAAUGCCCUGGGAGCCUGAGGAUUAGCUGGAUUUAAUGUGACCCCCAGUUUGCUGUGGCUGUAGGUGCCAGGUGAUUUUUUCCAUCUGUGCUGCUCUGCCUCCCUGGACCUCAGAGCUGCAGAAAAAGCCCAUCCUCCCUCCAGGAGAUAUCUCCUGUUAAUGGCCAGUGAGUCCCAGGGCAUGACUGAUAAAAUUCCAUCAUCCCACUGGGAGAUGCUCCAGCCAGGGGAGGAGCCAAGCCUUUCCUACCCAGAUAAAAACUGACAUUUUGGACACCAAGGCACCUUCUUUCCACUGGAUUCCAGAGGAAAGCCAGACCUUUGCACAUCAUCCCUGGAGCUUCAGA
Molecule: long non-coding RNA, 583 nt
Organism: Oenanthe melanoleuca
Lineage: Eukaryota; Metazoa; Chordata; Aves; Passeriformes; Muscicapidae
Exons: 3
Source: RefSeq, a predicted model, not a curated record